Molecule: ribosomal RNA, 268 nt
Filed under: Alphaproteobacteria bacterium
Lineage: Bacteria; Pseudomonadati; Pseudomonadota; Alphaproteobacteria
Description: partial 16S ribosomal RNA
Rfam family: Bacterial small subunit ribosomal RNA
Source: RNAcentral
UCUAACCUAAGAGUUUGAUCCUGGCUCAGAACGAACGCUGGCGGCAUGCCUAACACAUGCAAGUCGAACGCUAUUUAUAGAGUGGCGCACGGGUGAGUAACGCGUGGGAACCUGCCUUUUUCUGCGGGAUAACGGUUGGAAACGACCGCUAAUACCGCAUACGCCCUACGGGGGAAAGGUCCGCCGGAGAAAGAGGGGCCCGCGUCUGAUUAGCUAGUUGGUAGGGUAACGGCCUACCAAGGCGACGAUCAGUAGCUGGUCUGAGAGG